Molecule: long non-coding RNA, 1870 nt
Organism: Dasypus novemcinctus (nine-banded armadillo)
Lineage: Eukaryota; Metazoa; Chordata; Mammalia; Cingulata; Dasypodidae
Source: Ensembl
GUUCUGCUCCCGUCCAAGAGGGAGCCUGAGGCAGAGCUCACAGCGCAUGCUCCAUCCCGGGCCGCUGGAAGCGCAAAAGUGGCCGCGCUCGGCGGGGGCGGAGUCUCCUGACAAUUCCCUGCCGCCCGCUGCUCUGAUUGGCGGCUGCAGUAGCCUGGGCGGGUCCAGGCGUCUGUCCUAAAGGCGUGGGGGGCUCGUCACCCCCUCCAAGGCUCGUCCCAGCUCUCGGGCCCGCCGCGGUCCCUGCAGCUUUGGACACCGACCUGGUAGGACGGCUCCGAGGCUCUCUCUCCUUUCAUUUCACUUUCUUCUGGAGCUGACACAUUUGAAUCCUGCCCCAUCACUCCGAAUGAAAAUGUGGUUCUUUGGGUGGGUGGUCUCGUUGAUCCUCGGGACUGUGCAUUGCCAGCAGCCCAGAGGGAAACUGACAACUGUGGAUCCUGAAGCAUAUAUGAAUGUGGUAAGUGCUCAAAGUUACCUGUUUUAAAAUGCAUUUGUGACAAGCGUUAUUUCCUUAAAUCCAAUUGUGUCGCCUAAGUUUUGCCACCAACUCUAAUCUCCAUCUAUCCCAUAUGCUUUUUACUAUCUCUGAAUCUUAGAUUCAGUUUGCUAAAUUUUUAUUUUAACCAGGUAAUAUGUUUUCACAAACCUUCUUUUAUUGUUAAGACUAGAUGUUGUAGAAUUUGAGAGAGCUUCAAUUAUUUGCAUAUAGAGAGGCCAGAAUUCAAGAAUGAUUUUGAGAAGGAAAAAUGGUUUAUUGAUGGCCGGCCAGACUCAGGAGCUUUCCAUUUCUAUUCCAAGCCCCAAAAAAGACUUUCGAGUUUCUUUUAUAUAGAUAGGAAAGGUUAAAUGGUUCCUUUGUUUCAGUUUUCAAUAGGCUUGUAUUAGCUUAUAAAGUUUUCACAUCUUAGGUAAGCUUUUAGCAUGGACUUCAUACAUUCUAGAUAAGCUUUUAGCAUAUUUGGUUUGCAUUUCCCCUGAAUACUUAAAGUUUAUAGACUGCAUUGUUACACUGUUUCCUGGGACUGGAGUCGUUGGCAUGGUCACCAAGGGCAGGACUACAGCCUCUUACCAUCUCACACCCACAAGUCAGAGAGCUUAGGUCAUCUCUGAAGAGACAAAGAGCCUCCCACCCAUAGCCCACAUCAUUUUCCCCCUUUGCCAAAGUUUAACUUGCUAGCUUUGGCAUAAUUAUAGUUGGAACUAUGAGGUGGAUGGCUGUUUGUUGUAUUGAUUGAUUAUUUAUCAGUCUUUAGUGUAGCAUCCAGGACUGUUUUUAGAUGUUUAGAAGUUUUCAUUCUGGACAGCAGAAUCCUGGGGCAGGAGUCCCCCUGCAGUUAUCUUAGGGCCACCAGCGCUCACGUGGAUUUCCAGUCAGGUUCCAGAUCCAUCUAUUAAUUUUAUUUUACCCUUAAAGAGUUUACACCUUUAAUCUAAAAGGGUUGCUGAAGGGAGAUGAUCUCUUUUUUGUAACUGCUUCUUGCUGGCCAUGGGCUGUACUCAUUGCCUAACAAGGUGUAAAACUUAUUUUAUUUUAACUGGAGUAAGAUGAAUCUGGCAUUCUGUACGAAGUUGGAUGACGUUUUCAUAUGGUUAAUAAGAUGUUCACUCUGAAAGAAACAAACAAUUAAAAAUUUGGAAUACCCGUUUUUAAAAGAGGACAUUGGAUUACAGAGGUAGACAAAGUUAGGUGCUUAUAAAGAUGGCACUCCUUUUUAAAAGCUAGUGGGAACACUAUAUAUAUACUUUUUCUAAGUUAUUUAUCUUUAGAAAUUGCAAUAGAUACUUAGCUUUGUUGGAAGACACAUUUCAAGCUGUUUAAUGAUUGGCACUCAUGUGCUCUGUUAGAUGCUCCAGGUGAACUGGCACC